This 301-nucleotide ribosomal RNA is filed under the name uncultured bacterium. Its description in RNAcentral is "partial 16S ribosomal RNA". It matches the Rfam family "Bacterial small subunit ribosomal RNA", at positions 509 to 807 of the family's 1533-position model. The record is from RNAcentral.
CAGCCGCCGCGGUAAUACGUAGGUGGCAAGCGUUGUCCGGAAUUAUUGGGCGUAAAGGGCUCGCAGGCGGUUUCUUAAGUCUGAUGUGAAAGCCCCCGGCUCAACCGGGGAGGGUCAUUGGAAACUGGGAAACUUGAGUGCAGAAGAGGAGAGUGGAAUUCCACGUGUAGCGGUGAAAUGCGUAGAGAUGUGGAGGAACACCAGUGGCGAAGGAGACUCUCUGGUCUGUAACUGACGCUGAGGAGCGAAAGCGUGGGGAGCGAACAGGAUUAGAUACCCGCGUAGUCCCUGUCUCUUAUAC